RNAcentral lists this transfer RNA (16 nucleotides) under Tectaria heracleifolia. RNAcentral's name for it is "partial tRNA-Phe". The record is from RNAcentral. Lineage: Eukaryota; Viridiplantae; Streptophyta; Polypodiopsida; Polypodiales; Tectariaceae.
CUCAUUCGGUAAAGCA